CACGCCCUAAACGAUGUCUACUAGUUGUCGGGUCUUAAUUGACUUGGUAACGCAGCUAACGCGUGAAGUAGACCGCCUGGGGAGUACGGUCGCAAGAUUAAAACUCAAAGGAAUUGACGGGGACCCGCACAAGCGGUGGAUGAUGUGGAUUAAUUCGAUGCAACGCGAAAAACCUUACCUACCCUUGACAUGGCUGGAAUCCCCGAGAGAUUGGGGAGUGCUCGAAAGAGAACCAGUACACAGGUGC
This 247-nucleotide ribosomal RNA is filed under the name uncultured bacterium. RNAcentral's name for it is "partial 16S ribosomal RNA". It matches the Rfam family "Bacterial small subunit ribosomal RNA", at positions 796 to 1041 of the family's 1533-position model. The record is from RNAcentral.